RNAcentral lists this transfer RNA (76 nucleotides) under Anaerolineae bacterium. Its description in RNAcentral is "tRNA-Glu". It matches the Rfam family "tRNA". From Rfam's summary of the family: Transfer RNA (tRNA) molecules are approximately 80 nucleotides in length. Their secondary structure includes four short double-helical elements and three loops (D, anti-codon, and T loops). The record is from RNAcentral. Lineage: Bacteria; Bacillati; Chloroflexota; Anaerolineae.
GUCCCCAUCGUCUAGAGGCCUAGGACACAGCCCUUUCAAGGCUGUGACACGGGUUCGAAUCCCGUUGGGGGCACCA